AGGCAGCAGUGGGGAAUAUUGGACAAUGGGCGCAAGCCUGAUCCAGCCAUGCCGCGUGUGUGAAGAAGGCCUUCGGGUUGUAAAGCACUUUUGUUCGGGAAGAAAAGCUACCGGUUAAUACCCGGGAGUCAUGACGGUACCGAAAGAAUAAGCACCGGCUAACUUCGUGCCAGCAGCCGCGGUAAUACGAAGGGUGCAAGCGUUACUCGGAAUUACUGGGCGUAAAGCGUGCGUAGGUGGUGAGUUAAGUCUGUCGUGAAAGCCCCGGGCUCAACCUGGGAAUGGCGAUGGAUACUGGCUCGCUAGAGUGCGGUAGAGGAGAGUGGAAUUCCCGGUGUAGCAGUGAAAUGCGUAGAGAUCGGGAGGAACAUCAGUUGCGAAGGCGGCUCUCUGGACCAACACUGACACUGAGGCACGAAAGCGUGGGGAGCAAACAGGAUUAGAUACCCUGGUAG
This 455-nucleotide ribosomal RNA is filed under the name uncultured bacterium. Its description in RNAcentral is "bacterial SSU rRNA". It matches the Rfam family "Bacterial small subunit ribosomal RNA", at positions 346 to 793 of the family's 1533-position model. The record is from RNAcentral.